UUGAAACACUGGUUCUCAUUUGAUCACUGAAGUUAAAAAACGUUGAGCCUAGUCACUACCUAAAUGGGUGACUACUUGGGAAUACCAGCUGCUGUAGG
This is a non-coding RNA of Acanthosepion pharaonis, 98 nucleotides long. Lineage: Eukaryota; Metazoa; Mollusca; Cephalopoda; Sepiida; Sepiidae. The record is from the annotation of a GenBank genome assembly.